AUGGGUACGUCGUGCACGGCGGGCAUGUCUUCUACAACCUCGUCGGUGGCCGCCAAUGUUGAUGGCGUCGGGAUAGUUCAGUUUCAAUCGGAGUUCUACAUCCCCGAUCUGACAUUCUGUGGCCUUGAUUCGGUCGUCGCGGCGGUGCCCUGGCCAGGGGCUUAUUCCUGCUCUCGUGUCGCCUGGGGAGGAGCAAGCUCCGGCAGAAGGUUUCUCGGCUGCCCUCUUGAUCUUCCUGAUGAAUGUGAUUGGGUUGUCUGGAUUGACCCGCCAUCGACCGAAUGUGUUGGUCGUGCAUUUGAGGAGCUUCAUGCAGGAUUGGAGAAGAGCUGGCUAAAAGCUCAUUAUUUAGAGAGGAGGGUGAUGUAUCUAACCGAGAAGAACAAGAAACUGAAGCUAAAGAUGAAGAAGAGGAACGAGGUUAUGCAAGCCUGGGGAUUUAUCAUAGUUCUUGGUUUUAGCAUGUUGGCCACAUUUGUUUCUAGGUGGUCUAAUAAUCCAUACUAA
Molecule: ribosomal RNA, 507 nt
Filed under: Triticum aestivum (bread wheat)
Lineage: Eukaryota; Viridiplantae; Streptophyta; Magnoliopsida; Poales; Poaceae
Description: partial small subunit ribosomal RNA
Source: RNAcentral